AUGCCGGAUCCAUUGGAUGACUGGAAAAGGCUAGACUACCUCCAGCGCCACAUCUCAGCCGUCAAGGACGCAAUAGACCAGGGCGCGGACGUGCGGGGCCACUUCACCUGGGGUCUGAUCGACAACUUCGAAUGGACCCUUGGCUACAGCACACGAUUCAGCCUCGUCUACAUCGACAAGACGGACAGCAACAAGCGCAAGCUCAAGAAGUCAGCCAAGUGGUUUGCCAAGUUCAACUCCGUCCCAGAAGUCUUGCUCACUGCCGGGGAUGUUGAAUUAGCUAGUAGCCUCGAUCGAUUCUGCAAUGGCAGGUGCUCGCUUGGCGUCGGGAUCACGGAGGACUGGAUGGGCUCCUUCUUGGCUUCCGGAGGGUGGCUCACCAGAUUCCGGCUCCGUAGUUUGUUUUCUUUUUCUUUAUUUUGGGCUUACCUAUGCUGUUGCGCCAGCCCGAGCUAUUUCCUGUUUGCUUGCUGA
Molecule: ribosomal RNA, 474 nt
Filed under: Triticum aestivum (bread wheat)
Lineage: Eukaryota; Viridiplantae; Streptophyta; Magnoliopsida; Poales; Poaceae
Description: partial small subunit ribosomal RNA
Source: RNAcentral